GGGGGCGUAAAGGUUUCGACGGGGAUUCGGAAGUAUGGUAAGCGAGUAGGGGCGCAUGAACCCUUUAACAACAUGCAACUUAAAUUUAAACGCUGAAGAUAAUAAUUUAGCUUUUGCUGCUUAAUUAAGCAGCCAUCCGAACCGGAAGGACCACGAGCCGGCUAGGGUGUAACUUUAGUGGUGAACGUCCUCCGGGAGUUCCACGGCCCGGUUGAUGUAUUAGGGAUACCAAGCGUCAUAGCCUGCCUGUCGGCGAUGACGUAAGGGAAUGCAAAUGACAGGCUACACUCGUAGAAAGCUGUAUGGAUGAGUUUUCGGACAGGGGUUCGAUUCCCCUCGCCUCCAUCG
Molecule: transfer-messenger RNA, 348 nt
Filed under: Ruminococcaceae bacterium OttesenSCG-928-L11
Lineage: Bacteria; Bacillati; Bacillota; Clostridia; Eubacteriales; Oscillospiraceae
Rfam family: transfer-messenger RNA
About the family: Bacterial tmRNA, also known as 10Sa RNA or SsrA, is named for its dual tRNA and mRNA-like properties. Its role is to liberate the mRNA from a stalled ribosome.
Source: RNAcentral